UAACGGCCCACCAAGACUGUGAUCCUUAGGGGUUCUGAGAGGAAGGUCCCCCACACUGGCACUGAGAUACGGGCCAGACUCCUACGGGAGGCAGCAGUAGGGAAUAUUGGGCAAUGGGCGGGAGCCUGACCCAGCCAUGCCGCGUGCAGGAAGAAGGCGUUAUGCGUUGUAAACUGCUUUUAUACGGGAAGAAAAGGCCCAUGCGUGGGACAUUGCCGGUACCGUAUGAAUAAGCACCGGCUAACUCCGUGCCAGCAGCCGCGGUAAUACGGAGGGUGCAAGCGUUGUCCGGAUUUAUUGGGUUUAAAGGGUGCGUAGGCGGCCCGUUAAGUCAGCGGUGAAAGUCUGUGGCUCAACCAUAGAAGCGCCGUUGAUACUGAUGGGCUUGAGUGCCGUAUGGGUACAUGGAAUUGAUGGUGUAGCGGUGAAAUGCAUAGAUACCAUCAGGAACACCGAUAGCGUAGGCAUUGUACUGUGCGGCAACUGA
This 487-nucleotide ribosomal RNA is filed under the name Aquiflexum sp. RNAcentral describes it as "bacterial SSU rRNA". It matches the Rfam family "Bacterial small subunit ribosomal RNA", at positions 258 to 743 of the family's 1533-position model. Lineage: Bacteria; Pseudomonadati; Bacteroidota; Cytophagia; Cytophagales; Cyclobacteriaceae. The record is from RNAcentral.